RNAcentral lists this ribosomal RNA (399 nucleotides) under uncultured Bacillus sp. Its description in RNAcentral is "bacterial SSU rRNA". It matches the Rfam family "Bacterial small subunit ribosomal RNA", at positions 9 to 396 of the family's 1533-position model. The record is from RNAcentral. Lineage: Bacteria; Bacillati; Bacillota; Bacilli; Caryophanales; Bacillaceae.
GAGUUUGAUCCUGGCUCAGGAUGAACGCUGGCGGCGUGCCUAAUACAUGCAAGUCGAGCGAACUGAUUAGAAGCUUGCUUCUAUGACGUUAGCGGCGGACGGGUGAGUAACACGUGGGCAACCUGCCUGUAAGACUGGGAUAACUUCGGGAAACCGAAGCUAAUACCGGAUAGGACCUUCUCCUUCAUGGGAGAUGAUUGAAAGAUGGUUUCGGCUAUCACUUACAGAUGGGCCCGCGGUGCAUUAGCUAGUUGGUGAGGUAACGGCUCACCAAGGCAACGAUGCAUAGCCGACCUGAGAGGGUGAUCGGCCACACUGGGACUGAGACACGGCCCAGACUCCUACGGGAGGCAGCAGGAGGGAAUCUUCCGCAAUGGACGAAAGUCUGACGGAGCCACG